GUGUCAGCAGCCGCGGUAAAACGUAGGAGGCGAGCGUUAUCCGGAUUCACUGGGCGUAAAGCGCGUGUAGGUGGUUCGGCAAGUCGGUUGUGAAAGCCCCUGGCUCAACUGGGGGAGGUCAGCCGAAACUGCGGGACUGGAGGACCAGAGAGGAAGGUGGAAUUCCCGGUGUAGCGGUGGAAUGCGUAGAGAUCGGGAGGAACACCAGUGGCGAAAGCGGCCUUCUGGCUGGUCACUGACACUGAGACGCGAAAGCGUGGGUAGCAAACGGGAUUAGAAACCCCAGUAGUCC
Molecule: ribosomal RNA, 292 nt
Filed under: uncultured bacterium
Lineage: Bacteria
Description: partial 16S ribosomal RNA
Rfam family: Bacterial small subunit ribosomal RNA
Source: RNAcentral